RNAcentral lists this ribosomal RNA (484 nucleotides) under uncultured bacterium. Its description in RNAcentral is "partial 16S ribosomal RNA". It matches the Rfam family "Bacterial small subunit ribosomal RNA", at positions 30 to 507 of the family's 1533-position model. The record is from RNAcentral.
AUUGAACGCUGGCGGCAGGCCUAACACAUGCAAGUCGAGCGGAUGAACGGAGCUUGCUCCUGGAUUCAGCGGCGGACGGGUGAGUAAUGCCUAGGAAUCUGCCUGGUAGUGGGGGAUAACGUCCGGAAACGGGCGCUAAUACCGCAUACGUCCUGAGGGAGAAAGUGGGGGAUCUUCGGACCUCACGCUAUCAGAUGAGCCUAGGUCGGAUUAGCUAGUUGGUGGGGUAAAGGCCUACCAAGGCGGCGAUCCGUAACUGGUCUGAGAGGAUGAUCAGUCACACUGGAACUGAGACACGGUCCAGACUCCUACGGGAGGCAGCAGUGGGGAAUAUUGGACAAUGGGCGAAAGCCUGAUCUAGCCAUGCCGCGUGUGUGAAGAAGGUCUUCGGAUUGUAAAGCACUUUAAGUUGGGAGGAAGGGCAGUAAGUUAAUACCUUGCUGUUUUGACGUUACCAACAGAAUAAGCACCGGCUAACUUCGUG